Molecule: ribosomal RNA, 484 nt
Filed under: uncultured bacterium
Lineage: Bacteria
Description: partial 16S ribosomal RNA
Rfam family: Bacterial small subunit ribosomal RNA
Source: RNAcentral
AUUGAACGCUGGCGGCAGGCCUAACACAUGCAAGUCGAGCGGAUGAAGGGAGCUUGCUCCUGGAUUCAGCGGCGGACGGGUGAGUAAUGCCUAGGAAUCUGCCUGGUAGUGGGGGAUAACGUCCGGAAACGGGCGCUAAUACCGCAUACGUCCUGAGGGAGAAAGUGGGGGAUCUUCGGACCUCACGCUAUCAGAUGAGCCUAGGUCGGAUUAGCUAGUUGGUGGGGUAAAGGCCUACCAAGGCGACGAUCCGUAACUGGUCUGAGAGGAUGAUCAGUCACACUGGAACUGAGACACGGUCCAGGCUCCUACGGGAGGCAGCAGUGGGGAAUAUUGGACAAUGGGCGAAAGCCUGAUCCAGCCGUGCCGCGUGUGUGGAGAAGGUCUUCGGAUUGUAAAGCACUUUAAGUUGGGAGGAAGGGCAGUAAGUUAAUACCUUGCUGUUUUGACGUUAACAACAGAAUAAGCACCGGCUAACUUCGUG